Molecule: ribosomal RNA, 253 nt
Filed under: uncultured bacterium
Lineage: Bacteria
Description: partial 16S ribosomal RNA
Rfam family: Bacterial small subunit ribosomal RNA
Source: RNAcentral
UACGUAGGGUGCGAGCGUUAAUCGGAAUUACUGGGCGUAAAGUGUGCGCAGGCGGCCGAGCAAGUCGAGUGUGAGAGCCCCGAGCUUAACUUGGGAACUGCGCUCGAAACUACUUGGCUAGAGUGUGGCAGAGGGAGGUGGAAUUCCACGUGUAGCGGUGAAAUGCGUAGAGAUGUGGAGGAACACCGAUGGCGAAGGCAGCCUCCUGGGCCAACACUGACGCUCAUGCACGAAAGCGUGGGGAGCAAACAGG